UAAAUUGAGAGUUUGAUCCUGGCUCAGGAUGAACGCUGGCGGCGUGCUUAACACAUGCAAGUCGAGCGAUGAAGUUUCCUUCGGGAAACGGAUUAGCGGCGGACGGGUGAGUAACACGUGGGUAACCUGCCUCAUAGAGUGGAAUAGCCUUCCGAAAGG
This 159-nucleotide ribosomal RNA is filed under the name Clostridium perfringens. Its description in RNAcentral is "partial 16S ribosomal RNA". It matches the Rfam family "Bacterial small subunit ribosomal RNA", at positions 1 to 158 of the family's 1533-position model. Lineage: Bacteria; Bacillati; Bacillota; Clostridia; Eubacteriales; Clostridiaceae. The record is from RNAcentral.